This 179-nucleotide unclassified non-coding RNA is filed under the name uncultured fungus. RNAcentral's name for it is "sequence contains ITS1". Lineage: Eukaryota; Fungi. The record is from RNAcentral.
GCAUUUUGAAUUAUGUUAUUCGUGAUAUUUUUCAGACAAGGAGGUAAAGAAUUAGGUUGAUGUUUGGUCGAUCACCAUAAAGAUGAUCAACUGACAUUGGACACAAGGUGGAUAUGGAUUUAAAAAGUGCCAUAAAACACUUAUUAUGAAUGAUCCUUCCGCAGGUUCACCUACGGAAA